RNAcentral lists this microRNA (21 nucleotides) under Ananas comosus (pineapple). RNAcentral's name for it is "microRNA s1364_c045b". Lineage: Eukaryota; Viridiplantae; Streptophyta; Magnoliopsida; Poales; Bromeliaceae. The record is from RNAcentral.
ACGACAGAUAUUGAGUUCUAC